UAACCUCAUCGAUUGACGUUACCCGCAGAAGAAGCACCGGCUAACUCCGUGCCAGCAGCCGCGGUAAUACGGAGGGUGCAAGCGUUAAUCGGAAUUACUGGGCGUAAAGCGCACGCAGGCGGUCUGUCAAGUCGGAUGUGAAAUCCCCGGGCUUAACCUGGGAACUGCAUUCGAAACUGGCAGGCUAGAGUCUUGUAGAGGGGGGUAGAAUUCCAGGUGUAGCGGUGAAAUGCGUAGAGAUCUGGAGGAAUACCGGUGGCGAAGGCGGCCCCCUGGACAAAGACUGACGCUCAGGUG
Molecule: ribosomal RNA, 297 nt
Filed under: Pseudomonas aeruginosa
Lineage: Bacteria; Pseudomonadati; Pseudomonadota; Gammaproteobacteria; Pseudomonadales; Pseudomonadaceae
Description: partial 16S ribosomal RNA
Rfam family: Bacterial small subunit ribosomal RNA
Source: RNAcentral